This is a long non-coding RNA of Oreochromis aureus, 245 nucleotides long. RefSeq lists it as uncharacterized. The record is from RefSeq and is a predicted model, not a curated record. The transcript is spliced from 3 exons. NCBI's taxonomy places the organism in Eukaryota, Metazoa, Chordata, Actinopteri, Cichliformes, Cichlidae.
GUGCAAUCCCCAGCUUUUUGUUGGUUUGGUCUCCGCAUCUUCUUUCCGCGCAUACACAGCAAACCAGUUUAAGAAUUAUAAAUCCCUGGAGGCCCACAUCCAAUUCACGAACGGCUGGGUGCAAGAUUUGUCCAUCUUUAUGCCUCCACGCUGCGACAACUGUACGUUGUCGUUAAGACAAAGGUACUGCACUCACAACGACUGAAUGAAACUGCACUGUGACCUCGUUGUGUGGACACAGAGAG